This 422-nucleotide ribosomal RNA is filed under the name uncultured bacterium. RNAcentral describes it as "bacterial SSU rRNA". It matches the Rfam family "Bacterial small subunit ribosomal RNA", at positions 358 to 773 of the family's 1533-position model. The record is from RNAcentral.
GGAAUCUUGGUCAAUGGGCGCAAGCCUGAACCAGCGAUGCCGCGUGAGUGAUGAAGGCCUUCGGGUUGUAAAGCUCUGUGGGGAGGGACGAAAUCCUCGGUUCUAACAGGACUGAAUGUGACGGUACCUCCUUAGCAAGCACCGGCUAACUCUGUGCCAGCAGCCGCGGUAAGACAGAGGGUGCAAACGUUGCUCGGAAUCACUGGGCGUAAAGGGCGCGUAGGCGGGGAUGUAAGUCGGGCGUGAAAUCCCCAGGCUCAACCUGGGAACUGCACUCGAAACUGCGUUUCUUGAGUAUCGGAGAGGAAAGCGGAAUUCCUGGUGUAGAGGUGAAAUUCGUAGAUAUCAGGAGGAACACCAGUGGCGAAGGCGGCUUUCUGGACGGUAACUGACGCUGAGGCGCGAAAGCGUGGGGAGCAAAC